RNAcentral lists this long non-coding RNA (2729 nucleotides) under Gallus gallus (chicken). Lineage: Eukaryota; Metazoa; Chordata; Aves; Galliformes; Phasianidae. The record is from RNAcentral.
CUCCAUUUCCCUCAGCACUGCGCGGCCGCGCGCUCUGUUCUAGGGAAGCGCUUCGCCCCGCAGCUCUCACCAGGGCAGCUCGUAAUGGCCGCUGGCAGCAGGAGCGGACCCCAGCGUGUCGGUGGGCCCCCGCUUCUCAGCAGCCGCGGGCCCGGCCUUCUCGUCCUCCACGACCUCCAGCACUUCUUCCUCCUCCAUCUCGGCGGCUGCAGGCCCGGCGUCGUCUUCCCGCCGCCUCCAGCAGCCUUCCAAAGCACUGCACCCUCUGUGUAGGCAGUGACUCCUCGCGUAUCUGCAGUGAUUCUGUAGCUUAUAGCACAGCACCUGAGAGAGGACUACGAGAGUAUAACACCAGACGUGUGGUUUCGGCUUCAGUCGGUAGAGGGAGUACAGACACCUGUGUGCAGCGCCACGCGUGACAGCUGAGAGAGCAGGCUCUGCCCUGAGCCCUCUUCUGUCUGCAAGAAACUUAUCUCCCUUAAGUGAACAUUUUCCUGCAGGCUAAAAGGCAGCGGUGGGCUACUAACGCUGUGAUCUGUGUGCAGUCUGCUUAAAGGUUAAGCCAUGAGCUGUUGCAAAAGCAGAAGAGGGAGGAAGUGUCUGUUAAAGCUUCAGUGUGUGGUAGCGUUGGAUAGUUAGAAUAGAAACAGGCAGUCUGGGUUCACCCACUCUUGACAAGGAGCCACUCGGUCUGUGUUUUUGACAUAACACUUGAUCUUGUAGCUUUGGUUGUCCCAUGAUAAAGGCAAUGCUUGCUGCCAUUUGAUUAAUGUCUGUCAGAAACUUUGAAAGAACUUUGCAAAGGAGUUAAUGCAAAGUGGAGUGGUUUUUACUUUAAGCUACAGUAUUGCUUGACUUUUGCUUAGACAUGAUGCAGCUGUAAUGCAGCAUGGAUACUCUGUUCAGCAUCCAGCAUCUGUAUUUCUUUUAUGUUGUUUCCCUGUAUCAACAAUCUGGCAAUAUUCUCCACUGGCUGCCCCUAACUGGCACUGCAUGAUGUUAGGCAAUCCUGUUCAGUUGUGUAUUGUCUAUUAAAUGCUGAGCAAAACUUGAUCAGAGCCUUUGUCUGUCUGAAUGGAACAAAUGAAUCAUCAGUUAAAGUUGUUUGCAUUCAACUUCUUUAUGUCAAUGAUGAAAACUCAGUACUGUCAUUGUUUAGUAGGAGCCCAAGAAUUAUUAGGCAGUAGAACUCAAGAUUCCUUCAAGCUUGCACAGCAUGGAUUGCAGAGCAUGGAUUGCAGAGAAGGAAGAGCUGCAACGUUCAAACCAGGAAGUUCUUAAAGCAUAAAGGAGGAAUUCACCAAGAGGUAAAGGUAAGGGUGGAGUCUGGCUUAAUCAUAAAGUGAUAAGGGCAGAGGAAGUAAGAAAAACCUGACAAAUAAAAUUCCAAUUGUUAUCUUCCAACCUCUGUGCAUACAACUGAACUUUGUUCUAAAUGUUUGGUGUGUUUUUGCACAGAAAAAUAGGACUUGUGCUCUUCACACUUGCUUUAGUGGCUGUGUAUCUUUGAAGAUUGUAUUAAAGCCACAGGAUAAUACAGAAAUAUGCUCUCAGACUUUGACUGUUUCAAAAGUUGAGUUGGCAGCAGAGUGGUGCCAGCACAGCCCUUGUGCUCCACACAGCUCCUUUCCAAUGAGAAGUGACUGGACAUUCCUGUGGAGGUAAAUCCUUGGCUAUUAAUCCCACAAGCCAGGCUCCAUUCUUCUUGGAUUAACUCUGUAGAUUAAAGCUGCCUAUCUAAACUUCCCAUGCCUUAAUUAGGUUCAGCAUAGCCUCCAAUUCAGGGCAUUUGUUAUUCACUGUUGCUAGUGCUACAACACUGAGCUAAAGUUAUCACAGGACAAGUCUGAGAAAUGGGGCUGAGGUGGGGAGAAGUUUCUCUUUCCUGCAUUAGACAUCUGGGAUUUGCCCCUUCCAAGUGAACAAAUAAUAUCCCAGAGUGUCCCAGAGUCUUCUGGUGCAACUUCCCCCCAAAUACUUGAUUUCUCUGCUCUCACGUUGCUCUAUUUCCAUUGAUUUUUACCUGCACUUGCUCAAAGCAGGUCUAAUUGUAGCAGAAAUACUUAGUAAUCUGCUUUGAUUGAUGUAUCCAGGAGCAUCUCAGAGCACCUCCGUUGCAGAGGAGCUGUGUGUCAUCAGCUUCCACAGAUGUCUGUGUAACUUUAAUGCUGUAGGUAACAGGGUAAAACAUUUCUGAUGUCAAAACUGGCACGGAGGAUCUCAUGUGCCAGCCUGAAACUACUUUUUACAUAUGAGUUGCUAUUAAAUUUUUGUUUGGUUAGUUGACAGGCUAUAUUCAGUAGAUAUGCAGAUACCUAAACAAAUGCUUAGAUAACUACAGGUUCCGUGGCAUAUUUUGUAAAAUGCUUUUGGGAUCCCUGUGGAUGAAUGUAAGACCUUUGUAACCAUUCCCAGCCAUCAGAGAGAUGCCAGCCAGAUGCUACAGGACAGUACACCUAACAUAAAUAUUUGUGCUCUAAGGAUUUUGUUCAGUGUUUACUUAAAAUGUAAACUUUAAAAACACCCAGAAGGGUUUCUGUAAUCCAUUUUAGAUAUCUCAGUUCUGUUUAGUGAGGAUACAGAGUUCAUGCAUUGGUAUCAGAGAAGCUGGUGGUGACUGAUGAGCAGGGAAGUGCCCCGGCCCUAAAAGCUGAUAUUUCUGAUCCCACGGUUGGCUUUGCCUCCCUGAGUUUGUCUCCUAUGGGCUCUGAGCACAUGCAGGCUCAAGG